This 253-nucleotide ribosomal RNA is filed under the name uncultured bacterium. Its description in RNAcentral is "partial 16S ribosomal RNA". It matches the Rfam family "Bacterial small subunit ribosomal RNA", at positions 524 to 776 of the family's 1533-position model. The record is from RNAcentral.
UACGUAGGGGGCAAACGUUGCUCGGAAUUACUGGGCGUAAAGGGUGUGUAGGCGGCUGAGCAAGUCAAAGAUGAAAUCCCGAGGCUCAACUUCGGAAUGGUUUUUGAAACUGCUUAGCUUGAGGAUAGUUGAAGAGAAUGGAAUUCCCGGUGGAGCGGUGAAAUGCGUAGAUAUCGGGAGGAACACCUGAGGCGUAGGCGAUUCUCUACGCUACUCCUGACGCUGAAACACGAAAGCUAGGGGAGCAAACGGG